This 53-nucleotide non-coding RNA is filed under the name Erwinia tracheiphila. The record is from RNAcentral. Lineage: Bacteria; Pseudomonadati; Pseudomonadota; Gammaproteobacteria; Enterobacterales; Erwiniaceae.
CUAUAUUCGCUGUGUUGUUGUAAAUCCAGCAACCGGGUUUAGCAGCCUGAAAU